Amphiprion ocellaris (clown anemonefish) is the source of this 376-nucleotide long non-coding RNA. The record is from Ensembl. NCBI's taxonomy places the organism in Eukaryota, Metazoa, Chordata, Actinopteri, Pomacentridae.
UGCCUGAAGACUCACCUGUCUCACCUGAGGAGCUGCUGCAGCAGACGGACCGCUCUGUCCAGGCUGCUGCUGCCGCCCUCAGCUGGCAGAGUCAGCAGGUGGAGAAGCUGGUGUUUGAGCUGAUUGAGGAGCUGAAGAGGAAGAUGAAGACGACGGAUGCCGUUCAUCUGCAGGGGUCCUUCCACUGCCUCCAGCCAGACUCCAGACAGAAGACUCGCUGUCUCUCCUGUCUUCCUUGUCGCUUCUACAACCUGAUUGGUCAGCUGUGUCAUCGCACCACUGAGGCUCUGGUCACAGCUGUCAGAAGCAGCCUGGAGGCCCUCAGGAGGCGACUGUCAGCUCCUCAUCCUCUCCUCAGAGCCUCCGUCCAGCUCUG